CUUUUUUAAAAAACUGCUCUUCCUGAGUGAACCUAGAGGUUCCUUUAGGUCAAAAUAGGCUAACCAGUAGGUUUUGGGGCUGAGAAUGGUUUUUAAGUCUUACUAAUCUUCUCUGGAAUGAAACCAGAAAUUUGGGAACCGGAAAGAACGUCUGUGAAAACAGCAGCACGGGGUCCAGGCAACGGCCCCCACUUUCCUGAGUUCUGAACCCGGCUCUGUGGCUUCUCAGGUGAGGAAACGCAGGAAAGAGACCUGCCUGUGGUCCCACCAUCACGUCGCGACAGAGCCGCAGCUGGAAUUCAGGUGUGGUCCUCUUCCCGCUUCUCCACAACUUCCACUUUGGACUUUAAACUUAAUUCCCAGGAUCCUAGGGCCCUUUUUUGUUAUAGACCCCAAAGGCAACUGAAUACAAACACCUAUAAGGCCAGAAAAUACCUCCCUCAUUUUAAUUAUUAAAAACAUUAUGAAAUUGACUAAAUUGUGAUAG
Molecule: long non-coding RNA, 487 nt
Organism: Equus caballus (horse)
Lineage: Eukaryota; Metazoa; Chordata; Mammalia; Perissodactyla; Equidae
Source: RefSeq, a predicted model, not a curated record